CAGAAAGUUGAGUAUGAUUCUGGAAAUGUAUGAAAAAAUAGGCCUAGGUGGGGGUAAAUAAUUUUUCCUAUUACAUGCCAUAUUUUAAAAACUCUUUUCAAGUGCUGUUGUUUUCCCCUUUUUCUUCGUCAGUGUUCUGGACAUCUUGGAAAAGGUAUACGGGAAGCAACAGAAAUCCUUACAAUUGCAAAAUAAAACCUGAGGGGAUAGGAACCGAGAACUUUUCAAUGAAGAAGACAAGAAUUGUUGACAAUUCAUACUUUAGGUCUGUUAUUGGAGCCCACCAGCAUGCCAGGAGUAGCUGGGAGUAUUCAGUGGAGCCCCAUCUGAGACUGCCAGAACACAAAGCCUCUCUCUUCGUACAUUUCAAGGAUGGGAAAAAUCAUCCUGUACAUGGAGGAUGGCCUCAGCUACACUGUCCAGCUAAAAGAAUCAGCAAAAGACUUCAAAGUAUAUUUCACAAAAUCUAGGCUCUCCAGUUUCAGACUACAGUAAAUGGAGGAUAGUCCAGGUUACAAACAUUUUAUGGCCAGAAAAAGUGCUCUGGAGCAUAGUCUAGUUAAAAAUGCCCAUAAUCCCCAUUAUAAAGCAGAACAUUUUGCAUCUUACAAACUGUGGUGUCUGUUUGCAGACGGAAACCUCACUGCCUUCUCCAAGAAUAAGAGUGAGGUACUUGUUUCACAUUUUUGCAAUAGAAGGGGCCAUUUACAUAAAAAAAAAAUAACAACUUUCAAAAAAAUCAGUCGUUUGCAUAAACAAAGCUAACAAUCUCCAGUAGAUGUCCUACCACAUGUACUGGAGGAUGGUGAGGAAGCCUUUCUAUGAAACAAGCUUCUCAUUCUCAUUUAAUAUUUGCAUUUGUCAAAUAGUAAGGUCUUAAUCGGGCUUCCCAGGGGAAUUUCAAGAUGGCAGAGUAGAAGGAUGUGCUCUCAUCUUCUCAAGCAAGAACUCCAAAAUUAUAACUCGCUGCUGAACAACCUUUGACAGGAGAAUGUUGGAUCCCACCAAGAUAAGAUACCCCACGUCCAAGGGCAAAGGAGAAGCCCCAGCAAGACAGUAGGAGGGGAGAAAUCGUGUUUAGAAUGAAACUCCAUACCCGCCAGAGAUGCUUGGAGGGCUCAAACGAAGCUUGUGCACACCAGGACCCAGAGACCCCACAGAGACUGAGCCAGAACGGUGUUUGAGAGUCUCCUGCAGAGGUACAGGUCAGCAGUGGACUGCUGCAGGGGCAGGGGCUCUUGGUGCAAUAGACCUGGGUAUGGCAUAAACCCUUUUGGAGGAAGUAGCCAUUAACCCCACCAUGGAGCUGCCAGAACUUACACAGGACUGGGGAAACAGACUCUGGGAGCACACAAACAAAACCUUGUGCACACCAGGACCCGGGAGAAAGGAGCAGUGACCCUACAAGAGACUGACCCAGACUCGCCCAUGAGUGUUCAGGAGUCUCCAGCGGAGGCGUGGGUCAGUGGU
Molecule: long non-coding RNA, 1470 nt
Filed under: Bos mutus (wild yak)
Lineage: Eukaryota; Metazoa; Chordata; Mammalia; Artiodactyla; Bovidae
Description: lncRNA (ENSBMUG00000023171.1)
Source: RNAcentral